This is a long non-coding RNA of Mytilus californianus (California mussel), 273 nucleotides long. RefSeq lists it as uncharacterized. Lineage: Eukaryota; Metazoa; Mollusca; Bivalvia; Mytilida; Mytilidae. The record is from RefSeq and is a predicted model, not a curated record. The transcript is spliced from 3 exons.
AUCAUGCUACUAGGGCCCCCUGUUGUACUUAGGAAUUGGACCCCUCGAAAAGGUGAAAGGUCUACUUUACAUCUUUUUCAAUGAAAGUACAAGUACUUUGAGAAGUAGGAGAAGCUAAGCAACAGAACAGAAUUCAUUUGAGGCAUUGCUUUCUAGAUUAUAUAGUGGAUUAAUAGAUUGUCAUAUUGAUUUAUGUGCAUAUGAGGAGCAGUAGCCAAUGAAUAAUUUUGUGAUGAGAGAAUUAGCUCCUCAGAUGUAAGUGGAAGGGAAGCU